This is a long non-coding RNA of Alligator mississippiensis (American alligator), 679 nucleotides long. RefSeq lists it as uncharacterized. The record is from RefSeq and is a predicted model, not a curated record. The transcript is spliced from 2 exons. NCBI's taxonomy places the organism in Eukaryota, Metazoa, Chordata, Crocodylia, Alligatoridae.
AAGCGAUCGUGAGGAAGGUAUUCGGUGCGGCUUUGGGGGGCUGUUUGUUUCCAGCGAGCGCACUUUAAAUUGUUUCUUUGUUCCCCGAGGUCAGUUGCCUUGAACAGUACGAGAGCCCAGGACUCGAGCGCGCCUGGCGGUUCUGCUUGCAACACCACUGCUGAGGACACGCAGGCUACUGAGGCAGGCUGCCACCAAUACACACAUGGACAGGACAUCUUCAGGGACUGUGAGCAUUGGCUGUGUGAGAUGGUGAGACAGACCAUCUGGCUAUGGGCAGAUUCAUGGCCAUCCAGCAUGACAGGAAUCGCUGUGAGUCCAGGAGGCAUUCCCAGACCCAGGAGGACUGGCAAAUAAUGGCCGGGCUCCUUGCAAUGAUUCUAUGCCUGAUGGUCAUUGGCCCCACUCCUGCCCAGAAGUGGGAGAGGCCAGUACAGAUCCACGCUCCGCCAUCCACCAGUUCACAGUCAAGCUUGGAAAGUCCACCUUAGAGCCAAGGUCUUUCAGUAAGAAAUGAUUAUUGCUUCAAUUGAUGUUUUUUCACAAAUCAUUCAUCAUUACGGUAGUAAAAAGAAAUUCCUCUGUUGUUGUAAUUAUGCAUUGUUAUCUUAUGAAAGCUGUUCUGUGGUUUGUUUAAUUAUGAUUAAUAUUUGGCUUGUAAAUAAAGGUUUAUACUUGC